Molecule: ribosomal RNA, 253 nt
Filed under: uncultured bacterium
Lineage: Bacteria
Description: partial 16S ribosomal RNA
Rfam family: Bacterial small subunit ribosomal RNA
Source: RNAcentral
UACGUAGGGUUCGAGCGUUAAUCGGAAUUACUGGGCGUAAAGCGUGCGCAGGCGGUUCGCUAAGACCGAUGUGAAAUCCCCGGGCUUAACCUGGGAACUGCAUUGGUGACUGGCGGGCUAGAGUAUGGCAGAGGGGGGUAGAAUUCCACGUGUAGCAGUGAAAUGCGUAGAGAUGUGGAGGAAUACCGAUGGCGAAGGCAGCCCCCUGGGCCAAUACUGACGCUCAUGCACGAAAGCGUGGGGAGCAAACAGG